Molecule: ribosomal RNA, 103 nt
Filed under: Gigasporaceae sp.
Lineage: Eukaryota; Fungi; Glomeromycota; Glomeromycetes; Diversisporales; Gigasporaceae
Description: partial small subunit ribosomal RNA
Source: RNAcentral
AAAGUUGUUGCAGUUAAAAAGCUGGUAGUUGAAUUUCGGGGUUCUACCGUUGGUCGGGCAAUAGUCUGUACUGGUGUGUGGAAUUUCUACCUUCUGGGGAACC